CAGUGGUCUGGAACACCACCAAGAACCCAGCUAGGAGUGUGGAGGGUGGGCAGCUGGAACUCAGGUCCCUGCCUGAGGUUUUGGUGCAGAGAUUUGAAGGUGUUGGACCCGGGACCAUGUGUAGCCGUGGAGAUCGUGGUGGCUUUUUCCUCAAUCAGCAAGCUAAAUGACACAACCAGAGGCUCCAUGACAGUCCCAAGGCACCAUCAAAAGACCAAAAAGUGGGAGUGGCCCAGUUCCUGGAAAUCUCCACUCCUUCCCCAAGAUGCUUCCCAAUGCCCACUUGACUUCACACUUCAGGAUGUCUGGCUCUAGGGACAAGAAAACUCCCCUGCUCAACCUGGAGGAAGAGCUGAUGAUGGAAGCAUGACGUCUACUCAGGAAAGACAAAGAAGUUCUCCCCCUCUCCACUUUUCCUUUGAUUAUAAAACCGUAGCUCUGUAAGUUCUUGGGGCACGAUACACCCUCACCAGUUGCUUGUAAGCCUCACAAGCAUCCUCUUCUAAUAAAUCACUUCU
Cervus elaphus (red deer) is the source of this 518-nucleotide long non-coding RNA. RefSeq lists it as uncharacterized. The record is from RefSeq and is a predicted model, not a curated record. The transcript has 3 exons. Lineage: Eukaryota; Metazoa; Chordata; Mammalia; Artiodactyla; Cervidae.